AGUUGUACAAGCUGUUCACUGGGUGGUUGGCUGAGCAUACCUUGCAGCCUGGCUGUUCCAGCUGAACAUAGGGUUUUCUUACUUUACCCCACUCCAGAGCCAAUUCACAUUGUGGUAAUAAACUCAACAAAUCUGAACUAAAAAUGUACACAGGACAGACCAUCUUCUUGCAAAGAGUGCCUGCUAAGGAUACUCACAAGGUUGCUUCCUUGAAUCACACAGCCUCAGGACACCCCAGCAGCUCGAUGUGAGACACAGUACUUCAAAUAGGUGGCUUCCAGUGAACAAAGGAGGUGCCUGGUCUCUCACUGAUCUAGUCUCAGAAGCAGCACAGCAUCCUUGGGGCUGAGUACGAUUAGUAAGCCCAGCCGGAACGUCCAAUCGUGUCCAAAAUGGAGCACGAAGCCCCCAGACAGUAAGAGGCACAUCAGAUAAUCUUGGCUCUGUGCUUUAAAAAUCCGGGCAGCUUCUCUCCAGCUCAGUUCCUUAUCUAAACAGACAUAAUAAUGUCCAUCUUACAAGACUGUUGUGAAGCUUAAAUCAGAUAAUGUAUUUAACGUGCUUGGAGCAAUGUCUGGACCAUUCAGUAAGUGUCAGCUUGUAUUAUUAGGAGUGACAUUAGCUAAGUGAGCAGUCACCAUGCCUUUUCUGCAGUCUUUGCACUGUAGGCAUGCAUACCCAGCCUCAUGAUGGGCCCUAGGAGGGGCAUCUGGAACCCAUCCCCGCUAUCAGGUUGGGGUGAUAGACGCAGACGUGACAAAUGACAACAGAAGCCAUCUGAGACUGUGUGUCAGCUCUAUCUCGCCACGGCUGCUCCUCUUUCUACACACAGACUUUGCGUCACUUUGAGGGCACGGGGACAGUGUGCAAAUGUCUUGUCAGUCUCAGUUGAAGUUUUCAACAGUAAAUAGUUGGUUUUUAUAAAACCAACACCACUCUA
Molecule: long non-coding RNA, 940 nt
Filed under: Mus musculus (house mouse)
Lineage: Eukaryota; Metazoa; Chordata; Mammalia; Rodentia; Muridae
Description: predicted gene, 31875 (Gm31875)
Source: RNAcentral